Molecule: ribosomal RNA, 271 nt
Filed under: uncultured bacterium
Lineage: Bacteria
Description: partial 16S ribosomal RNA
Rfam family: Bacterial small subunit ribosomal RNA
Source: RNAcentral
UACGUACUGUGCGAACGUUAUUCGGAAUCACUGGGCUUAAAGGGUGCGUAGGCGGCCGAUUAAGUAGGGUGUGAAAGGCCUCGGCUCAACCGGGGCAUUGCGCUCUAGACUGAUCGGCUCGAGUGAGAUAGGGGUGUGCGGAACUUCCAGUGGAGCGGUGAAAUGUGUUGAUAUUGGAAGGAACGCCGGUGGCGAAAGCGGCACACUGGGUCUUAACUGACGCUGAGGCACGAAAGCCAGGGGAGCGAACGGGAUUAGAAACCCGGGUAGU